UGGGGAAUAUUGCACAAUGGGCGAAAGCCUGAUGCAGCAACGCCGCGUGAGGGACGACGGCCUUCGGGUUGUAAACCUCUUUUAGCAAGGAAGAAGCGAAAGUGACGGUACUUGCAGAAAAAGCGCCGGCUAACUACGUGCCAGCAGCCGCGGUAAUACGUAGGGCGCAAGCGUUAUCCGGAAUUAUUGGGCGUAAAGAGCUCGUAGGCGGUUUGUCGCGUCUGCUGUGAAAACCCGAGGCUCAACCUCGGGCCUGCAGUGGGUACGGGCAGACUAGAGUGCGGUAGGGGAGAUUGGAACUCCUGGUGUAGCGGUGGAAUGCGCAGAUAUCAGGAAGAACACCGAUGGCGAAGGCAGAUCUCUGGGCCGUAACUGACGCUGAGGAGCGAAAGGGUGGGGAGCAAACAGGCUUAGAUACCCUGGUAGUCCACCCCGUAAACGUUGGAACUAGUUGUGGGUCCAUUCCACGGAUUCCGUGACGCAGCUAACGCAUUAAGUUCCCCGCCUGGGGAGUACGGCCGCAAGGCUAAAACUUGAAAUGAAUUGACGGGGUCAUAGCUGUUUCCU
Molecule: ribosomal RNA, 567 nt
Filed under: uncultured bacterium
Lineage: Bacteria
Description: partial 16S ribosomal RNA
Rfam family: Bacterial small subunit ribosomal RNA
Source: RNAcentral